CGUGUAGGCGGCAGAUCAAGUCGGGUGUGAAAUCCCUCGGCUCAACCGAGGAACUGCAUUCGAUACUGGUCAGCUAGAGUGCGAGAGGGGUGAGUGGAACUCCAGGUGUAGCGGUGAAAUGCGUAGAUAUCUGGAGGAACGCCGGUGGCGAAAGCGACUCACUGGCUCGCAACUGACGCUAAGGCGCGAAAGCUAGGGUAGCGAACAGGAUUAGAUACCCUGGUAGUCC
This 229-nucleotide ribosomal RNA is filed under the name uncultured bacterium. RNAcentral's name for it is "partial 16S ribosomal RNA". It matches the Rfam family "Bacterial small subunit ribosomal RNA", at positions 568 to 796 of the family's 1533-position model. The record is from RNAcentral.